RNAcentral lists this transfer RNA (73 nucleotides) under Daphnia pulicaria. RNAcentral's name for it is "tRNA-Arg". It matches the Rfam family "tRNA". Rfam says of the family: Transfer RNA (tRNA) molecules are approximately 80 nucleotides in length. Their secondary structure includes four short double-helical elements and three loops (D, anti-codon, and T loops). The record is from RNAcentral. Lineage: Eukaryota; Metazoa; Arthropoda; Branchiopoda; Diplostraca; Daphniidae.
GGUCGUGUGGCCUAAUGGAUAAGGCGUCGGACUUCGGAUACGAAGAUUGCAGGUUCGACUCCUGCUACGAUCA